AUACGGAGGGUGCAAGCGUUACUCGGAACCACUGGGCGUAAAGCGCGCGCAGGCGGCUAUUUAAGUUGGAUGUGAAAGCCUACGGCUCAACCGUAGAACUGCAUCCAAAACUAUUUAGCUAGAGUGUGGGAGAGGAAGAUGGAAUUAGUUGUGUAGGGGUAAAAUCCGUAGAGAUAACUAGGAAUACCAAAAGCGAAGGCAAUCUUCUGGAACACUACUGACGCUGAGGCGCGAAAGCGUGGGGAGCAAACAGGAUUAGAAACCCUAGUAGUCC
RNAcentral lists this ribosomal RNA (274 nucleotides) under uncultured bacterium. RNAcentral describes it as "partial 16S ribosomal RNA". It matches the Rfam family "Bacterial small subunit ribosomal RNA", at positions 523 to 796 of the family's 1533-position model. The record is from RNAcentral.